CUACGGGAGGCUGCAGUGGGGAAUAUUGGACAAUGGGCGCAAGCCUGAUCCAGCAAUACCGCGUGUGUGAAGAAGGCCUUCGGGUUGUAAAGCACUUUUGAUUGUGAGGAAAGUCUGGUGGUUAAUACCCGCUUGAUUUGACGUUACCUUUAGAAGAAGCACCGGCUAACUCUGUGCCAGCAGCCGCGGUAAUACAGAGGGUGCAAGCGUUAAUCGGAAUUACUGGGCGUAAAGCGUACGUAGGCGGAUUAGUAAGUCGGAUGUGAAAUCCCUGGGCUCAACCUGGGAACUGCAUUUGAACUGGUAGACUAGAGUGUGGUAGAGGAUAGUGGGAUUCCGGGUGUAGCGGUGAAAUGCGUAGAGAUCAGGAGGAACACCAAUGGCGAAGGCGCCUUCCUGGGCCAACACUGACGCUGAGGGACGAAAGCGUGGGGAGCAAACAGGAUUAGAUACCCUCGUAGUC
Molecule: ribosomal RNA, 463 nt
Filed under: uncultured bacterium
Lineage: Bacteria
Description: partial 16S ribosomal RNA
Rfam family: Bacterial small subunit ribosomal RNA
Source: RNAcentral